This 808-nucleotide ribosomal RNA is filed under the name Microbacterium sp. A-01. Its description in RNAcentral is "bacterial SSU rRNA". It matches the Rfam family "Bacterial small subunit ribosomal RNA", at positions 48 to 865 of the family's 1533-position model. The record is from RNAcentral. Lineage: Bacteria; Bacillati; Actinomycetota; Actinomycetes; Micrococcales; Microbacteriaceae.
UUAACACAUGCAAGUCGAACGGUGAACACGGAGCUUGCUCUGUGGGAUCAGUGGCGAACGGGUGAGUAACACGUGAGCAACCUGCCCCUGACUCUGGGAUAAGCGCUGGAAACGGCGUCUAAUACUGGAUAUGUGACGUGAUCGCAUGGUCUGCGUCUGGAAAGAAUUUCGGUUGGGGAUGGGCUCGCGGCCUAUCAGCUUGUUGGUGAGGUAAUGGCUCACCAAGGCGUCGACGGGUAGCCGGCCUGAGAGGGUGACCGGCCACACUGGGACUGAGACACGGCCCAGACUCCUACGGGAGGCAGCAGUGGGGAAUAUUGCACAAUGGGCGCAAGCCUGAUGCAGCAACGCCGCGUGAGGGACGACGGCCUUCGGGUUGUAAACCUCUUUUAGCAGGGAAGAAGCGAAAGUGACGGUACCUGCAGAAAAAGCGCCGGCUAACUACGUGCCAGCAGCCGCGGUAAUACGUAGGGCGCAAGCGUUAUCCGGAAUUAUUGGGCGUAAAGAGCUCGUAGGCGGUUUGUCGCGUCUGCUGUGAAAUCCGGAGGCUCAACCUCCGGCCUGCAGUGGGUACGGGCAGACUAGAGUGCGGUAGGGGAGAUUGGAAUUCCUGGUGUAGCGGUGGAAUGCGCAGAUAUCAGGAGGAACACCGAUGGCGAAGGCAGAUCUCUGGGCCGUAACUGACGCUGAGGAGCGAAAGGGUGGGGAGCAAACAGGCUUAGAUACCCUGGUAGUCCACCCCGUAAACGUUGGGAACUAGUUGUGGGGUCCAUUCCACGGAUUCCGUGACGCAGCUAACGCAUUAAGU